UGCCCAUCAACUCCUAUCCCUACCUCCUCGCGGUACUGGCCGGGGUACGAGUAACCUUAGGGAAGAUCGGGUAACCAACCCCAGGUGGGAACUUUGGUCGUAUACUGUCAGGGAAGG
RNAcentral lists this ribozyme (117 nucleotides) under Aedes aegypti (yellow fever mosquito). RNAcentral describes it as "drz-agam-1 ribozyme". It matches the Rfam family "drz-agam-1 ribozyme". The record is from Rfam by way of RNAcentral. Lineage: Eukaryota; Metazoa; Arthropoda; Insecta; Diptera; Culicidae.